UACGGGGGGGGCAAGCGUUGUUCGGAAUUACUGGGCGUAAAGGGCUCGUAGGUGGCCAACUAAGUCAGACGUGAAAUCCCUCGGCUUAACCGGGGAACUGCGUCUGAUACUGGAUGGCUUGAGUUUGGGAGAGGGAUGCGGAAUUCCAGGUGUAGCGGUGAAAUGCGUAGAUAUCUGGAGGAACACCGGUGGCGAAGGCGGCCUGCUGGGCAGUGGCUGACACUGAGGCGCGACAGCGUGGGGAGCAAACAGG
This 253-nucleotide ribosomal RNA is filed under the name uncultured bacterium. RNAcentral's name for it is "partial 16S ribosomal RNA". It matches the Rfam family "Bacterial small subunit ribosomal RNA", at positions 524 to 776 of the family's 1533-position model. The record is from RNAcentral.